ACCGGCAUCGGUUGGAUAUUAAAUAUUUAUAGGAUAGAGAUGGNNNNNNGUGACAUUAGCUAGUUGGUAGGGNNNNNGCUUACCAAGGCGACGAUGUCUAGGGGUUUUGAGAGGAGAAUCCCCCCACACUGGUACUGAGACACGGACCAGACUCCUACGGGAGGCAGCAGUAAGGAAUAUUGGUCAAUGGGCGGAAGCCUGAACCAGCCAUGCCGCGUGNNNNAUGACUGNNNUAUGGGUUGUAAACUGCUUUUGUCCAGGAAUAAACCUAAAUACGUGUAUUUAGCUGAAUGUACUGGAAGAAUAAGGAUCGGCUAACUCCGUGCCAGCAGCCGCGGUAAUACGGAGGAUCCGAGCGUUAUCCGGAUUUAUUGGGUUUAAAGGGUGCGUAGGCGGCCUAUUAAGUCAGGGGUGAAAUACGGUGGCUCAACCAUCGCAGUGCCUUUGAUACUGAUGGGCUUGAAUCCAUUUGAAGUGGGCGGAAUAAGACAAGUAGCGGUGAAAUGCAUAGAUAUGUCUUAGAACUCCGAUUGCGAAGGCAGCUCACUAAGCUGGUAUUGACGCUGAUGCACGAAAGCGUGGGGAUCGAACAGGAUUAGAUACCCUGGUAGUCCACGCCCUAAACGAUGAUAACUCGAUGUUGGCGAUAGACAGCCAGCGUCCAAGCGAAAGCGUUAAGUUAUCCACCUGGGGAGUACGCCCGCAAGGGUGAAACUCAAAGGAAUUGACGGGGGCCCGCACAAGCGGAGGAGCAUGUGGUUUAAUUCGAUGAUACGCGAGGAACCUUACCCGGGCUUGAAAGUUAGUGAAGAAUGCAGAGACGCAUUCGUCCUUCGGGACACGAAACUAGGUGCUGCAUGGCUGUCGUCAGCUCGUGCCGUGAGGUGUUGGGUUAAGUCCCGCAACGAGCGCAACCCCUAUGUUUAGUUGCCAGCAUGUAAUGGUGGGGACUCUAAACAGACUGCCUGUGCAAACAGUGAGGAAGGUGGGGACGACGUCAAGUCAUCAUGGCCCUUACGUCCGGGGCUACACACGUGCUACAAUGGAUGGUACAGCGGGCAGCUACAUAGCAAUAUGAUGCNNNUCUCUAAAAGCCAUUCACAGUUCGGAUUGGGGUCUGCAACUCGACCCCAUGA
Molecule: ribosomal RNA, 1136 nt
Filed under: Sphingobacterium sp. wB15
Lineage: Bacteria; Pseudomonadati; Bacteroidota; Sphingobacteriia; Sphingobacteriales; Sphingobacteriaceae
Description: bacterial SSU rRNA
Rfam family: Bacterial small subunit ribosomal RNA
Source: RNAcentral